Molecule: ribosomal RNA, 497 nt
Filed under: uncultured bacterium
Lineage: Bacteria
Description: partial 16S ribosomal RNA
Rfam family: Bacterial small subunit ribosomal RNA
Source: RNAcentral
GAUGAACGCUGGCGGCGUGCCUAAUACAUGCAAGUCGAGCGAACAGACGAGGCGCUUGCUCCUCUGACGUUAGCGGCGGACGGGUGAGUAACACGUGGAUAACCCACCUGUCAUACUGGGAUAACUUCGGGAAACCGGCUCUAAUACGGGAUAAUCUAUUGCACCGCGUGGUUCAAUGGUGAGAGACGGCUUUUCUGUCUCGUAUAGCUGGUUCCGGGCCGCAUUAGCUAGUUGGUAAGGUAACGGCUUACCAAGGCGACGAUGCGUAGCCGACCUGAGGGGCUGGUCGGCCACACUGGAACUGAGACACGGUCCAGACUCCUACGGGAGGCAGCAGUAGGGAAUCGUCCGCAAUGGGCGAAAGCUUGACGGAGCAACGCCGCGUGAGUGAUGAAGGUCUUCGGAUCGUAAAACUCUGUUAUUAGGGAAGAACAAAUGUGUAAGUAAAUAUGCACGUCUUGACGGUACCUAAUCAAAAAGCAACGGCUAACUACGUG